This 797-nucleotide ribosomal RNA is filed under the name uncultured bacterium. Its description in RNAcentral is "bacterial SSU rRNA". It matches the Rfam family "Bacterial small subunit ribosomal RNA", at positions 8 to 796 of the family's 1533-position model. The record is from RNAcentral.
AGAGUUUGAUCAUGGCUCAGGAUGAACGCUAGCGGCAGGCUUAAUACAUGCAAGUCGAGGGGCAGCACGAAUAGCAAUAUUUGGUGGCGACCGGCAAACGGGUGCGGAACACGUACGCAACCUUCCCGAAACAGGUGAAUAGCCCUCCGAAAGGAGGAUUAAUACACCGUGAGAUAUGAUUGUGGCAUCACAGACAUAUUAUAGGUAGCAAUACCGGUUUUGGAUGGGCGUGCGCCUGAUUAGGUAGUUGGCGGGGUAACGGCCCACCAAGCCUCCGAUCAGUAACUGGUGUGAGAGCACGACCAGUCACACGGGCACUGAGACACGGGCCCGACUCCUACGGGAGGCAGCAGUAAGGAAUAUUGGUCAAUGGACGCAAGUCUGAACCAGCCAUGCCGCGUGAAGGAUGACGGCCCUCUGGGUUGUAAACUUCUUUUAUCUGGGACGAAAAAAGGGAAUUCUUUCUCACUUGACGGUACCAGAGGAAUAAGCACCGGCUAACUCCGUGCCAGCAGCCGCGGUAAUACGGAGGGUGCAAGCGUUAUCCGGAUUUACUGGGUUUAAAGGGUGCGUAGGUGGAUAAGUAAGUCAGUGGUGAAAUCUCCGGGCUUAACCCGGAAACUGCCAUUGAUACUAUUUGUCUUGAAUACUUUGGAGGUAAGCGGAAUAUGUCAUGUAGCGGUGAAAUGCUUAGAUAUGACAUAGAACACCAAUUGCGAAGGCAGCUUACUACACAGUUAUUGACACUGAGGCACGAAAGCGUGGGGAUCAAACAGGAUUAGAUACCCUAGUAGUCC